UGUGGGCAAAGUGAGUGGGAUC
RNAcentral lists this microRNA (22 nucleotides) under Echinococcus granulosus. RNAcentral's name for it is "egr-miR-10265-5p". The record is from miRBase by way of RNAcentral. Lineage: Eukaryota; Metazoa; Platyhelminthes; Cestoda; Cyclophyllidea; Taeniidae.